This 464-nucleotide ribosomal RNA is filed under the name uncultured bacterium. RNAcentral describes it as "bacterial SSU rRNA". It matches the Rfam family "Bacterial small subunit ribosomal RNA", at positions 60 to 524 of the family's 1533-position model. The record is from RNAcentral.
AGUCGAGCGGUAGAGAGAAGCUUGCUUCUCUUGAGAGCGGCGGACGGGUGAGUAAUGCCUAGGAAUCUGCCUGGUAGUGGGGGAUAACGUUCGGAAACGGACGCUAAUACCGCAUACGUCCUACGGGAGAAAGCAGGGGACCUUCGGGCCUUGCGCUAUCAGAUGAGCCUAGGUCGGAUUAGCUAGUUGGUGAGGUAAUGGCUCACCAAGGCGACGAUCCGUAACUGGUCUGAGAGGAUGAUCAGUCACACUGGAACUGAGACACGGUCCAGACUCCUACGGGAGGCAGCAGUGGGGAAUAUUGGACAAUGGGCGCAAGCCUGAUCCAGCCAUGCCGCGUGCAGGAUGACGGUCCUAUGGAUUGUAAACUGCUUUUAUACGAGAAGAAACACUACUUCGUGAAGUAGCUUGACGGUAUCGUAAGAAUAAGGAUCGGCUAACUCCGUGCCAGCAGCCGCGGUAAU